GGCUCCUCUACAGCUGAGGAAGCCAUGGGUUUCAGAUGACAUGGCGACAAGCCAGAGGAGAACCAGCCACUCAUAUCAGACAUUCAUCAUCUCAGGAUGGAAGAUGUUUUCACAGUCAUAUAAAGAAGCUUGCUAUAAUCUCUGGAAGAUUAGAUAUCAUAUGGGAAAGAAUCAAGGUGGACAGAGUAACAACCCCAAUAAUCAACCAGCCAGGUUCACAGGACUCUUCAGGACAAUCCAGCUGAAGCCAACAUUAUAACUGACCAAAAUUGGAUGACCAAGGCCAGCCAGUACCAUGUGAUACACAGAUAAGAUAUUCCAGACUGGUUCCUAUCCAAAUGGCUAAUCCACAAAAUAAAGAACAUAUAAGUGGUUAUUGA
Canis lupus familiaris (dog) is the source of this 380-nucleotide long non-coding RNA. RefSeq lists it as uncharacterized. The record is from RefSeq and is a predicted model, not a curated record. The transcript has 2 exons. Lineage: Eukaryota; Metazoa; Chordata; Mammalia; Carnivora; Canidae.